GUCCGCCCAGGGGGCGCCGUGGGCCUCGGCGGCGGGCCUCGGAGGACGCGACGGGGAAACGGGGCGGAGGCGCGGGCGCCGCGCGGAGGGGUUGCGGCUGUUGUCGCACCGGUCGCCCGGCUGCGCGGCGGGGGCGGGCCGACGGCGGCCGCCGCGCCAGGCCUCACAAAGAGCAAACAGCCCCGCGCGUCCGCCCGCGGUCCCAGCGCCGGGGCCCACCCUGAAGGAUCUGGGGCGGCCGCUCUGGGACCCCGGGAAGAGCGCGGCGAGGAAGAGGCACUUCCUGCCUGGGCCCCCCACCCUGGGCCGAUUCCCGAGUGCCUCGAAGCCGCCCGACCCGAACGGGCGCCUCAGUCCCCACCGGCCCCGAGUCCAGCCCCUCCCGCGGGACUCACCCUGAGCGGCGGUGAGAUCCGCGGCUGCCAGCGGCUUGUCGCUCUUCAGCUGGCGGCCAAUGUAGUCAGUCUGGGGACCCACCUCCCCCUUUCAGCUGAGCGCACACAACACAGCAUCCACGUGAGUCAGCUUCUUAAAGGCGAAGGCUUGGCCUGUCUAAUUGCGGCAGCUGCGAGACAUCGCACGUCAUUAGCGUCACCAGGUAGCGGCUGGAGCCGAGCUUCCUGAUACCUAGUGAGCCGCGGUGAUGACAAAUGAAAACAAUAAGCUGUUUCCUAGACAAACAGCUGCCUAGUUUCGCUCUGUCGCCCAGGCUGGAGUGCAGUGGCACAAUCUCGGUUCACUGCAACCUCUGCCUCCCGGGUUCAAGCAGUUCUCUUGCCUCAGCCUCCCAAGUAACUGGUACUACAGAGAAUUGAUACAAAAAAUGAUCAUGUGAAGAAUUUGCAUCUUCUGCAGAACUACCGGUAUCAGUCAGCAGUAGGAGAUUGUAUAAAUUCAGCCUGAGAUUCCAGAAUAUUCUGUGUAUUGACCACCACAGCAAGAAGAAAAAGUCCAUGUAGGACUGAAAUCUGUGGUACUUCUGCGGUGGCACUUCUUACACAAGUGAGAAGCAGCGACACCGUGACACCUGCACGCCGGAGCCCUGCGUUAGUGAGAAGCAGCGACACCGUGACACCUGCACGCCGGAGCCCUGCGUUAGUGAGAAGCAGCGACACCGUGACACCUGCACGCCGGAGCCCUGCGUUAGGCUGGGUAAGGGCGGGGACCUGGGCAUCACACAGUCUUAGAUGUGGGCCUGCCUCCAACAGCUCCCUCCUGGGUGUGAUGCUGAAGGGGGUCCUUGACACCUCUGAAGUCUCAGUCUCCUCAAGGUCACACCCAGCUUAUAGGAUUGUGCUUCUGUGGAUUAAACAAGACACAGCAGUCCUCCCUUAUCCAUGGUUCUGUUUUCCUUGGCCAAAAAUAUUAAAUAGAAAAUUCCAGAAAUAAACAAUUUAUGUUUUAAAUUGAAUGUUAUGAUGAAAUCUCACACCGUCCUGCUCCAUCCUGGCUGGGCGUGAAUCAUCCCUGUGUUCAGCAUAUCCACUGUCUAUACCCGCUACCCCUUAGUCACUUAGUUACUGUCUAGGUUGUCAGAUCAAAACCACAGUAUGGGCCGGGCAUGGUGGCUCAUGCCUGUAAUCCCAGUGCUUUGGGAGGUGGAGGUAGGAG
This 1611-nucleotide long non-coding RNA is filed under the name Homo sapiens (human). RNAcentral's name for it is "HSALNT0301468". Lineage: Eukaryota; Metazoa; Chordata; Mammalia; Primates; Hominidae. The record is from RNAcentral.